Molecule: long non-coding RNA, 295 nt
Organism: Rhipicephalus microplus (southern cattle tick)
Lineage: Eukaryota; Metazoa; Arthropoda; Arachnida; Ixodida; Ixodidae
Source: RefSeq, a predicted model, not a curated record
GUGACAACCACUGCUCCAAUACGGAGUCCUCCACUGUGCUCAUCGGCGAUGUGAAAUGUUUCUCUAUCUUCGUAUCACUUCUCCUCAGGAAGAAACUGCAUUGACAGACAAGGAAAAAUAAGCAACAAAUAUAUUCUACACCGGUUAAAAUAUAAUAUUAAGAACAAAAGACUUGUGACUUUUACCAAGGACGUGAAGGUGUUGCCGAAUUGAAGUACAUUUAUUGAUUAGCAGCAGCAAAUUAUUACUUUUGUGAGUUUGAAUUAAUAAAGUGAAACCAGUACACAAAAAUGAA